CAGUAGCCGCGGUAAUACGAAGGGUGCAAGCGUUACUCGGAAUUACUGGGCGUAAAGCGUGCGUAGGCGGCUUCUUAAGUCGGAUGUGAAAUCCCUGAGCUUAACUUAGGAAUUGCAUUCGAUACUGGGAAGCUAGAGUAUGGGAGAGGAUGGUAGAAUUCCAGGUGUAGCGGUGAAAUGCGUAGAGAUCUGGAGGAAUACCGAUGGCGAAGGCAGCCAUCUGGCCUAAUACUGACGCUGAGGUACGAAAGCAUGGGGAGCAAACAGGAUUAGAUACCCGUGUAGUCCCUGUCUCUUAUAC
Molecule: ribosomal RNA, 301 nt
Filed under: uncultured bacterium
Lineage: Bacteria
Description: partial 16S ribosomal RNA
Rfam family: Bacterial small subunit ribosomal RNA
Source: RNAcentral